Molecule: long non-coding RNA, 1418 nt
Filed under: Cyanistes caeruleus (blue tit)
Lineage: Eukaryota; Metazoa; Chordata; Aves; Passeriformes; Paridae
Description: lncRNA (ENSCCEG00000013993.1)
Source: RNAcentral
ACCAGGGCGCAAAUCCUACAAAUGUUAAUGUAAAUCAGUAACUUUAAACUUACAAAUGGCUCGGUGCCUACAAUGACACUAGCUAUGUGCACACAUUCUUGGGCAGAUAUGGAACUCUGUAUGUGUAAAUUCAGCAUGGAGCCUCGCUGCAAUCAGUUAGUUACAGCGUAUUGCAGCGCUAACGGUUGGAAGAAACAGAAAGUCUCCAAAUAACUGCAGCCAGUAGUUGCAGUCCUAGAAACUCUCACAUCUGAAUAACAUCAAUGUCACAAAUUCUCAUGCUGGAUUUGGCAGUCCUCACUCAAAUAAGGCCUGACCGAUUUCCGCCAGCACGGCACCAGUGAACGGCUUGUCAGGAGGAGGGCAAAGCAUUCCUGGCCAAAAUCAGUGGGUAGCUCUGUGCCAGAUCAAUGCCCAGAUGCAGCGUGCGGCCGGCAGCCAGCAGGAACCAUCUCCAUGUGAGUCACCUACAAGACUGCAGGUGCUGGAGGCCUAUGGAAAGUUGAAUCCUAGCCACUAACAGCAAUGUAAUCGUGUUGCUUGCUCAGAUCUCCUGCUGAUAAACGCACCCAGUUACUCCUAACUGUCUCCCGUACAAAAUAACACCUUCCAGAACACCUACUUCUUCAAUAGAUUUUAACCACACUGCAGCUGCACAAGAAAAUCCAUUCAUCAAUUAUAAAUCAAUUGAGGAAGAGAAAUCUGCAGCUCGCCUGAUUGUCUUUGCUUGUCCCUGAUACUCACUGAUCCAGCCUGCCAGGCAUUCUUUAAGAGCCCGAGCAGCAACAAUAUCCACACAGCCGCCGAACAAGGAGCAAUAAGAUUUUUUUUUUUUAUUUUUGUCUCCUGCACAAAUAUUCGGGAGUAUUUUGAAAUCCCCCGUCACGGAGGACACAAGACGGAGUGGAAAAGUGACUUUUUCUGCCUGUGUGCUUUCCUGCCUUUCCGAGACCAGCAGGGCAGGGGUGGCACCUCCCACCCUCAAUCCCUAAAUCCCGAAAGGAUCCAGGUUCACGGUGACCACCCCCGGGGCCGAGUGGCCACGUCCCUCUGUCCCUUACUCUGCUCUAGGAAAAUGCAGCCGUCUCGUUCCUACAAUGGAAAAGCUCUUUUCGACUACCUGGAUCGUGGGAAGGUUGCCUAAGUACCCGAGAUAUGUCUGAAUGAAGAAGGCAAAGAAUAGAUCGACUUAUAUAUAAAUUCUGUCUGGGGUUUAUUUUGGUGCGAUGGCUUUUGUUGGGUUUUCUUUUGGGAGGGUUGUUUGUUUUUGACCGGUCGUGUUUUUUGUUUGUUGUUUUGUUGGUUUUUGGUUUUGUUUUUUUUUUUUGUGGGGGUGAGGUGAGGUUGGAGGGAGGGGUGGUUUGUUUCAAAAGUUAAUAAGCAAUAAAACCCUCCCGGUAUUGAUUACUGCCGGGUCU